ACGCUCGACACCUACGGAGGCAGCAGUGGGGGAUAUUGCACAAUGGAGGAAACCCUGAUGCAGCGACGCCGCGUGAGGGAAGACGGUUUUCGGAUUGUAAACCUCUGUCUUCAGGGACGAAAUGAAUGACGGUACCUGAGGAGGAAGCUCCGGCUAACUACGUGCCUAGCAGCCGCGGUAAUCUGAGGCGGGCUGGACGAAGGC
RNAcentral lists this ribosomal RNA (204 nucleotides) under uncultured bacterium. RNAcentral describes it as "partial 16S ribosomal RNA". It matches the Rfam family "Bacterial small subunit ribosomal RNA", at positions 328 to 538 of the family's 1533-position model. The record is from RNAcentral.